RNAcentral lists this long non-coding RNA (1449 nucleotides) under Mus musculus (house mouse). RNAcentral describes it as "long non-coding RNA chr5:147974411-147975860". Lineage: Eukaryota; Metazoa; Chordata; Mammalia; Rodentia; Muridae. The record is from RNAcentral.
GCGGGGAGAGGGAGCAAGCGGGAAGCAAGAGUGAGAGAGACAAGAGAGUAAGAGAGCAAGUGGGUAAGAGAGUAAGAGAGAGAUGAGGGGGCAAGUAGCUCCUUUUAUAGUGGGCCAGGCCUACCUGGCUAUUGCCAGAUAACUGUGAGGAGGAGCAUACCUGGCUGUUGCCAGGUAACUGUGGGGGUGAAGUCCCGACCGAAUACCAGGAGCCCUACAUGACUGAUGGCCACAGAAUUAUGGAGCUGGAGCCUCGUGUCAGGAGCCUAGUGUCUGGGAGCAUGGCAAACGGGGGCCUUCCAUCUCUUGCAGGAACACCUGCUGGCUCUCCAGGGUUUAAUCCUAGCUCCACCAGAAAACAGGCUGCCUUUCAUGCUCCCGCACAUCUCCUGUUAUUCGUUUCUUACAACAUCCACAGGCAGAUGAUGUGUCCUGAUUCAAGAGAGGGGAGCUGGAUCUACAGCCAGAUAUUACGUGCUUGACUAACUCCACAGACCUUGGACAGACACCACUCUGCUAGGUGUGUCUUAGGGUUUCUGUUGCUAUGAUCCAGCACCAGACCCAAACACAGUUUGGGGGAGGAAGGGUUUAUUUCACUUAUAUUUAAUACAUACAUCACAGUCCAUCAUUGGAGGAAGUUAGGCCAAGAACUCACCCAGGGUAGGAACCUGGAAGCAGGAGCUGAUGCAGAGGCCAUGGAGGAGUGCUGCUAACCGGCCUGCUCCCCACAACUUGCUCAACCUGCUUUCAUAUAGAAGCUUAGGACCACCAGCCCAGAGGGGGCACCACUCACUAUGGGCUGGGCCCUCCUCAUCAAUGACUAAUUAAGAACAUGUCCUACAGGAUUGACUACAGUCUAGAUCUUACAGAAAUUCCUUAACUGAGGUUCCCUCCUCUGGGACAGCUCUUGCCAUGUCAAACUGACAGGCUUGCCAGGACGAGGUCAAAAAUCAUUUCCAUGGUCAGGCUAGUCUGUCUGGUCCAACCUGAGAACUCUAUUUUAAAAUGGAGCAGAUAAUUCUGUCAUUAGAGGAUAACAGGUGAACAAGGCCAGGGGAAUCCUGGAAAUAAAAGAGGUCCAGGCACUUGUUAGUUACCCUGUUCUCCUGUGUUCUCGCAGAGUGUUAUGAUUUUUCUUUCUUUUCUUUUCUUUUUUUGAUUUUUCCACUCUGAUUUUGAAAAAUUAAAUACCAAUCAAAUGUGACCGAAAUAGCUGCAUAUCUGGAGCGCAGGGAAAAAAAAAAAUCACUGUGUGUAAGUCUUAGUUUCUGCUUUAAAACAACCCUCCCGGGGACAGUGAGACGGCUUUGGUGGAUCAAAGCGCUUGGUACCAAGCCCAAUGGCCUGAGUGUGUUCCUCAGGACCCACAUGGUAGAACGAGAGAACUAACUCCCACAUGUUCAGACUUACACAUAGAAGCCUGUACCCACACAUGCAUAAUAAGUAGAU